Molecule: ribosomal RNA, 253 nt
Filed under: uncultured bacterium
Lineage: Bacteria
Description: partial 16S ribosomal RNA
Rfam family: Bacterial small subunit ribosomal RNA
Source: RNAcentral
UACGUAGGUGGCAAGCGUUAAUCGGAAUUACUGGGCGUAAAGCGUGCGCAGGCGGUUGUGCAAGACCGAUGUGAAAUCCCCGAGCUUAACUUGGGAAUUGCAUUGGUGACUGCACGGCUAGAGUGUGUCAGAGGGGGGUAGAAUUCCACGUGUAGCAGUGAAAUGCGUAGAGAUGUGGAGGAAUACCGAUGGCGAAGGCAGCCCCCUGGGAUAACACUGACGCUCAUGCACGAAAGCGUCGGGAGCAAACAGG